This 2929-nucleotide ribosomal RNA is filed under the name Bacillus sp. RZ2MS9. RNAcentral's name for it is "23S ribosomal RNA". It matches the Rfam family "Bacterial large subunit ribosomal RNA". The record is from RNAcentral. Lineage: Bacteria; Bacillati; Bacillota; Bacilli; Caryophanales; Bacillaceae.
UUUGGUUAAGUUAGAAAGGGCGCACGGUGGAUGCCUUGACACUAGGAGUCGAUGAAGGACGGGACUAACGCCGAUAUGCUUCGGGGAGCUGUAAGUAAGCUUUGAUCCGAAGAUUUCCGAAUGGGGAAACCCACCAUACGUAAUGGUAUGGUAUCCUUAUCUGAAUACAUAGGGUAAGGAAGACAGACCCAGGGAACUGAAACAUCUAAGUACCUGGAGGAAGAGAAAGCAAAUGCGAUUUCCUGAGUAGCGGCGAGCGAAACGGAACAUAGCCCAAACCAAGAGGCUUGCCUCUUGGGGUUGUAGGACAUUCUAUACGGAGUUACAAAGGAACGAGGUAGACGAAGCGACCUGGAAAGGUCCGUCGUAGAGGGUAACAACCCCGUAGUCGAAACUUCGUUCUCUCUUGAAUGUAUCCUGAGUACGGCGGAACACGUGAAAUUCCGUCGGAAUCUGGGAGGACCAUCUCCCAAGGCUAAAUACUCCCUAGUGAUCGAUAGUGAACCAGUACCGUGAGGGAAAGGUGAAAAGCACCCCGGAAGGGGAGUGAAAGAGAUCCUGAAACCGUGUGCCUACAAAUAGUCAGAGCCCGUUAACGGGUGAUGGCGUGCCUUUUGUAGAAUGAACCGGCGAGUUACGAUCCCGUGCGAGGUUAAGCUGAAGAGGCGGAGCCGCAGCGAAAGCGAGUCUGAAUAGGGCGUUUAGUACGUGGUCGUAGACCCGAAACCAGGUGAUCUACCCAUGUCCAGGGUGAAGUUCAGGUAACACUGAAUGGAGGCCCGAACCCACGCACGUUGAAAAGUGCGGGGAUGAGGUGUGGGUAGCGGAGAAAUUCCAAUCGAACCUGGAGAUAGCUGGUUCUCCCCGAAAUAGCUUUAGGGCUAGCCUUAAGUGUAAGAGUCUUGGAGGUAGAGCACUGAUUGGACUAGGGGUCCUCAUCGGAUUACCGAAUUCAGUCAAACUCCGAAUGCCAAUGACUUAUCCUUAGGAGUCAGACUGCGAGUGAUAAGAUCCGUAGUCAAAAGGGAAACAGCCCAGACCGCCAGCUAAGGUCCCAAAGUGUGUAUUAAGUGGAAAAGGAUGUGGAGUUGCUUAGACAACUAGGAUGUUGGCUUAGAAGCAGCCACCAUUUAAAGAGUGCGUAAUAGCUCACUAGUCGAGUGACUCUGCGCCGAAAAUGUACCGGGGCUAAAUACACCACCGAAGCUGCGGAUUGAUACCAAUGGUAUCAGUGGUAGGGGAGCGUUCUAAGGACAGUGAAGUCAGACCGUAAGGACUGGUGGAGUGCUUAGAAGUGAGAAUGCCGGUAUGAGUAGCGAAAGACGGGUGAGAAUCCCGUCCACCGAAUGCCUAAGGUUUCCUGAGGAAGGCUCGUCCGCUCAGGGUUAGUCAGGACCUAAGCCGAGGCCGACAGGCGUAGGCGAUGGACAACAGGUUGAUAUUCCUGUACCACCUCUUUAUCGUUUGAGCAAUGGAGGGACGCAGAAGGAUAGAAGAAGCGUGCGAUUGGUUGUGCACGUCCAAGCAGUUAGGCUGAUAAGUAGGCAAAUCCGCUUAUCAUAAAGGCUGAGCUGUGAUGGGGAAGCUCCUUAUGGAGCGAAGUCUUUGAUUCCCCGCUGCCAAGAAAAGCUUCUAGCGAGAUAAAAGGUGCCUGUACCGCAAACCGACACAGGUAGGCGAGGAGAGAAUCCUAAGGUGUGCGAGAGAACUCUGGUUAAGGAACUCGGCAAAAUGACCCCGUAACUUCGGGAGAAGGGGUGCUUUCUUAACGGAAAGCCGCAGUGAAUAGGCCCAAGCGACUGUUUAGCAAAAACACAGCUCUCUGCGAAGCCGUAAGGCGAAGUAUAGGGGGUGACACCUGCCCGGUGCUGGAAGGUUAAGGAGAGGGGUUAGCGUAAGCGAAGCUCUAAACUGAAGCCCCAGUAAACGGCGGCCGUAACUAUAACGGUCCUAAGGUAGCGAAAUUCCUUGUCGGGUAAGUUCCGACCCGCACGAAAGGUGUAACGAUUUGGGCACUGUCUCAACCAGAGACUCGGUGAAAUUAUAGUACCUGUGAAGAUGCAGGUUACCCGCGACAGGACGGAAAGACCCCGUGGAGCUUUACUGUAGCCUGAUAUUGAAUUUUGGUACAGUUUGUACAGGAUAGGCGGGAGCCAUUGAAACCGGAGCGCUAGCUUCGGUGGAGGCGCUGGUGGGAUACCGCCCUGACUGUAUUGAAAUUCUAACCUACGGGUCUUAUCGACCCGGGAGACAGUGUCAGGUGGGCAGUUUGACUGGGGCGGUCGCCUCCUAAAGUGUAACGGAGGCGCCCAAAGGUUCCCUCAGAAUGGUUGGAAAUCAUUCGUAGAGUGCAAAGGCAUAAGGGAGCUUGACUGCGAGACCUACAAGUCGAGCAGGGACGAAAGUCGGGCUUAGUGAUCCGGUGGUUCCGCAUGGAAGGGCCAUCGCUCAACGGAUAAAAGCUACCCCGGGGAUAACAGGCUUAUCUCCCCCAAGAGUCCACAUCGACGGGGAGGUUUGGCACCUCGAUGUCGGCUCAUCGCAUCCUGGGGCUGUAGUCGGUCCCAAGGGUUGGGCUGUUCGCCCAUUAAAGCGGUACGCGAGCUGGGUUCAGAACGUCGUGAGACAGUUCGGUCCCUAUCCGUCGUGGGCGUAGGAAAUUUGAGAGGAGCUGUCCUUAGUACGAGAGGACCGGGAUGGACGCACCGCUGGUGUACCAGUUGUUCUGCCAAGGGCAUAGCUGGGUAGCUAUGUGCGGAAGGGAUAAGUGCUGAAAGCAUCUAAGCAUGAAGCCCCCCUCAAGAUGAGAUUUCCCAUAGCGUAAGCUAGUAAGAUCCCUGAAAGAUGAUCAGGUUGAUAGGUUCGAGGUGGAAGCAUGGUGACAUGUGGAGCUGACGAAUACUAAUAGAUCGAGGACUUAACCAUAUAA